CGGAAUUACUGGGCGUAAAGAGCAAGCAGGCGGUUGUUUAAGUCAGUUAUGAAAGCCCCAGGCUAAACUUGGGGGGGCUAGCUGAUACUGAACGACUGGAGUGGAGAAGAGGGAUGCAGAAUUCCGCGUGUAGUGGUGAAAUGCGUAGAUAUGCGGAGGAAUACCAGAGGCGAAGGCGGCAUCCUGGUCUCUAACUGACGCUGAGGUGCGAAAGCAUGGGUAGCGAACGGGAUUAGAAACCCCGGUAGUCCAUGCCGUAAACGAUGUACACUAGACGUUCGCCGCAAGGUGGGUGUCGAAGCAAACGCGAUAAGUGUACCGCCUGGGGAGUACGAUCGCAAGGUUAAAACUCAAAGGAAUUGACGGGGGCCCGCACAAGCAGCGGAGCGUGUGGUUUAAUUCGAGGCUACGCGAAGAACCUUACCCGGGUUUGACAUACAAGUGGAGAGAAAUGAAAGUGGAUCGUUCUUCGGGGAGAGCUUGUCAGGUGCUGCAUGGCUGUCGUCAGCUCGUGCCGUGAGGUGUUCGGUCAAGUCCGCAAACGAGCGCAACCCUCAUCGUUAGUUACAAGUGUCUAACGAGACUGCCCGUGGUAAACGGGAGGAAGGUGGGGAUGAUGUCAAGUCAGCAUGGCCUUUAUAUCCGGGGCUACACACACGCUACAAUGGCGCAUACAAUGGGUCGCGAAGCCGCGAGGCGGAGCCAAUCCUAAAAAGUGCGUCUCAGUUCGGAUUGCAGGCUGCAACUCGCCUGCAUGAAGUCGGAGUUGCUAGUAAC
This 777-nucleotide ribosomal RNA is filed under the name uncultured bacterium. RNAcentral describes it as "bacterial SSU rRNA". It matches the Rfam family "Bacterial small subunit ribosomal RNA", at positions 546 to 1342 of the family's 1533-position model. The record is from RNAcentral.